AACGAACGCUGGCGGCGUGCCUAACACAUGCAAGUCGAACGAGAAAGGGGCUUCGGCUCCGAGUAAAGUGGCGCACGGGUGAGUAACACGUGGGUAACCUGCCUCUAAGAUUGGGAUAACUCGUCGAAAGAUGAGCUAAUACCGAAUAAGACCACAGUUCCCGCGGGAACAGGGGUCAAAGGUAGCCUCUGCUUGCAAGCUAUCACUUAGAGAUGAGCCUGCGCACCAUUAGCUAGUUGGUAGGGUAACGGCCUACCAAGGCAAAGAUGGUUAGCUGGUCUGAGAGGAUGAUCAGCCACACUGGAACUGAGACACGGUCCAGACUCCUACGGGAGGCAGCAGUGGGGAAUAUUGCGCAAUGGGCGAAAGCUUGACGCAGCAACGCCGCGUGAGUGAUGAAGGCCUUCGGGUCGUAAAGCUUUGUCGGGAGGAACGAAUGCUCCUGAGGUUAACAGCCUCGGGAGGUGACGGUACCUUCAAAGGAAGCACCGGCUAACUCUGUG
Molecule: ribosomal RNA, 503 nt
Filed under: uncultured bacterium
Lineage: Bacteria
Description: partial 16S ribosomal RNA
Rfam family: Bacterial small subunit ribosomal RNA
Source: RNAcentral